UAACACAUGCAAGUCGAACGAUGAAAUUAUGACGGAGGCUUCGGCCGACUGAAUAAUGGAUUAGUGGCGGACGGGUGAGUAACGCGUGAGUAACCUGCCUUUCAGAGAGGAAUAACAUUUGGAAACGAAUGGUAAUACCACAUAACAUUGCGGGAUCGCAUGAUUCUGUAAUCAAAGAUUUUAUCGCUGAGAGAUGGACUCGCGUCCGAUUAGCUGGAUGGUGAGGUAACGGCCCACCAUGGCGACGAUCGGUAGCCGGACUGAGAGGUUG
This 271-nucleotide ribosomal RNA is filed under the name Oscillospiraceae bacterium. RNAcentral describes it as "partial 16S ribosomal RNA". It matches the Rfam family "Bacterial small subunit ribosomal RNA", at positions 49 to 302 of the family's 1533-position model. Lineage: Bacteria; Bacillati; Bacillota; Clostridia; Eubacteriales; Oscillospiraceae. The record is from RNAcentral.